RNAcentral lists this ribosomal RNA (465 nucleotides) under uncultured Klebsiella sp. Its description in RNAcentral is "bacterial SSU rRNA". It matches the Rfam family "Bacterial small subunit ribosomal RNA", at positions 338 to 795 of the family's 1533-position model. Lineage: Bacteria; Pseudomonadati; Pseudomonadota; Gammaproteobacteria; Enterobacterales; Enterobacteriaceae. The record is from RNAcentral.
CCUACGGGUGGCAGCAGUGGGGAAUACUGCACAAUGGGCGCAAGCCUGAUGCAGCCAUGCCGCGUGUGUGAAGAAGGCCUUCGGGUUGUAAAGCACUUUCAGCGGGGAGGAAGGCGUUAAGGUUAAUAACCUUGGCGAUUGACGUUACCCGCAGAAGAAGCACCGGCUAACUCCGUGCCAGCAGCCGCGGUAAUACGGAGGGUGCAAGCGUUAAUCGGAAUUACUGGGCGUAAAGCGCACGCAGGCGGUCUGUCAAGUCGGAUGUGAAAUCCCCGGGCUCAACCUGGGAACUGCAUUCGAAACUGGCAGGCUAGAGUCUUGUAGAGGGGGGUAGAAUUCCAGGUGUAGCGGUGAAAUGCGUAGAGAUCUGGAGGAAUACCGGUGGCGAAGGCGGCCCCCUGGACAAAGACUGACGCUCAGGUGCGAAAGCGUGGGGAGCAAACAGGAUUAGAUACCCCGGUAGUC